AGUUGUAAAUUUAGCUAUUUUAUAACAACUAAAUUAUAUUACUAAAACAUUUAUAUAAACUAGUAUUGGCGAUAGAAAAUUAAUAAACGCAAUAAAUAAAGUACUGUAAAGGAAAAAUGAAAUAGAAAUUAAAUAAAUUAUAAAACACUACAAAGAAAACAUUAAAAUCUGUACCUUUUGCAUCAUGAUCUAGCAAGUAUUAAUCAACAAAAAGAAUUUUGCUGAAUACCCCGAAACUAAGCGAGCUACCUUAUGGCAAUAUAUGAAUUUACCUUUCUCUGUAGCAAAAGAGUAGGAUGACUAUACGGUAGAGGCAAAAAACCUAACGAGCAUGGAGAUAGCUGGUUACUUGAGAAUGAAUUUUAGUUCAACUAGAAACACCACUACUACCAAAGAAAAUUAAUAUUUCUAUUAUAAUUAAUUAAGGUACAACUUAAUUAAUAAAGGAAACAACCUAUAUAAAUGAAUAAAGAUUAUAUUUAAUAAGGAUAAUAAUAAAGUAGGCCUAAAAGCAGCCACCAGUAAAAUAGCGUCAAAGCUUAAUCAACUUAUACCAACUAUUUAAGUAAAUAAUCCUAACUCAUAAAAAAAAUCAAGUCAAUCUAUUUAUAGAUAAGUUAUUACUAGAAUGAGUAACAAGGAUAACCUCAUAAUACAAGUGUAAAUCUGAACGAACUAAUCGCCGAUAAUUAACGAAAUAUAUAUAAACAAGAAUAAAUAAAACGUUAACCCAACACAGGAGUAUUUAAGAAAGACUUAAAAUUUAAUAAGGAACUCGGCAAAAUGAACCCCGCCUGUUUACCAAAAACAUCGCCUUUUGAACAUAUAUUUAUAAAAGGUCCUGCCUGCCCAGUGACUCUGUUUAACGGCCGCGGUAUCAUGACCGUGCAAAGGUAGCGUAAUCACUUGUCUUUUAAAUAAAGACUAGUAUGAACGGCAACACGAGGGUUCAACUGUCUCAUUAAAUUGGUCAGUAAAAUUAAUCUUUCCGUGCAGAGACGGAAAUAAUUAUAUAAGACGAGAAGACCCUGUGGAGCUUUAAAUCAAAACUAACAUUUAAUAAUAUUAUAGUAUACGAUUUUAGGUUGGGGCGACCAUGAGGCAAAAUUAACCCUCAAAUAUAACUAGAGAGACAUUUCUAAAAAAUAGUAAUACUAACAUAUUGACCCAAUAAUUGAUCAACGAACUAAGUUACCCCAGGGAUAACAGCGCAAUCCACUCACAGAGCCCAUAUCGACGAGCGGGUUUACGACCUCGAUGUUGGAUCAGGACCACCUAGUGGUGCAGCAAUUACUAAGGGUUCGUUUGGUCAACGAUUAAAGUCCUACGUGAUCUGAGUUCAGACCGGAGUAAUCCAGGUCAGUUUCUAUCUAUAACUAGACUUUUCUAGUACGAAAGGACCGGAAAGCAGAGGUCAAUAAAUCCUUAAACCUUUCAAUAAGUCUAUGAAGAUAAAUAAAUAGACUAUAAGAAAACAUUAUAG
Molecule: ribosomal RNA, 1483 nt
Filed under: Oedipina tomasi
Lineage: Eukaryota; Metazoa; Chordata; Amphibia; Caudata; Plethodontidae
Description: 16S ribosomal RNA
Rfam family: Bacterial large subunit ribosomal RNA
Source: RNAcentral